AACGCACAUUGCGCCCGCCAGUAUUCUGGCGGGCAUGCCUGUCCGAGCGUCAUUUCAACCCUCGAACCCCUCCGGGGGGUCGGCGUUGGGGAUCGGCCCUUUCACCGGGUGCCGUCCCCCAAAUACAGUGGCGGUCUCGCCGCAGCCUCUCAUGCGCAGUAGUUUGCACACUCGCACCGGGAGCGCGGCGCGUCCACGUCCGUAAAACACCCCAAACUUCUGAAAUGUUGACCUCGGAUCAGGUAGGAAUACCCGCUGAACUUAA
RNAcentral lists this unclassified non-coding RNA (265 nucleotides) under uncultured Trichoderma. RNAcentral describes it as "sequence contains ITS2". The stretch from base 1 to 52 matches the Rfam family "5.8S ribosomal RNA", at positions 103 to 154 of the family's 154-position model. The record is from RNAcentral. Lineage: Eukaryota; Fungi; Ascomycota; Sordariomycetes; Hypocreales; Hypocreaceae.